CAUGGUAGGACAUUGCAAAAAUAUGUUGGUGGGUGCCCAAAAGGCCAACGCAACAAGAUGACAUACCACAAGCACUGGCAGCACUUACCUUGGAUAACACAAUUGCUGAAACGGAAUGGACUUCAGACACAGGAGCCUCAAAUCACAAGGAACUGGGUACAAUACAACAUGGCAUAGAUCUAACAACCAUCUUAAUCGGUCAUCUUCAAAAGCCCUUUUCUACAAUUGAUGAUAUAGAUCCAUGAUAUUUCCUUUCCUCCUCAUCAUACCAUGCCCCUGCAGAGACUACAAAAGGGAUGGAGAACAGUGUCACUGGCUGACAACUGCACAUUAACAUUUCCUUUAGUGGCACAUAGGAACAGCCUGAAUAUUGGUUGGGUCUGUUCCUCUGAACUGGUUUGGAAGAGUUAGUACAUUACAUUGGUACUGGGACUCCAGUUUGGAAUUGUUUGUAGUACAGUUUGCUGGCUUGGUGUUUACUGAUUGAACAAUCAACAGUUUUGCUUUCAGAGGCAAAAGAGGGGGAAAAAGUCAUUCAGAUUUCAGGAUGAUGAAAAAAGAUUCACAACCACAAGUUGGAUCUCAGGAAGUGAGCUUCCAUUAAGAAUUAAAACAACACUGAGAAACUGACCCAUCCCAGUUCAAAAAAGCCAGCUUGAAGAUUCUAAUAUAUAAAUGACCCAAUACCAAAAUAAUUGGAGGCUGGGCAUGUUUGAUUGAAUACCGCUAACAUGAAUAAUCUUAUGCCAUUUCUCCUCACUUUGAUUUAUCUUUUCUUACAUGACUAUCUUGGUAUAUUG
This is a long non-coding RNA of Vitis riparia (riverbank grape), 800 nucleotides long. RefSeq lists it as uncharacterized. NCBI's taxonomy places the organism in Eukaryota, Viridiplantae, Streptophyta, Magnoliopsida, Vitales, Vitaceae. The transcript has 3 exons. The record is from RefSeq and is a predicted model, not a curated record.